UGGGGAAUAUUGGACAAUGGGCGCAAGCCUGAUCCAGCCAUGCCGCGUGUGUGAAGAAGGCCUUCGGGUUGUAAAGCACUUUUGUACGGGAAGAAAAGCACUCGGUUAAUACCCGGGUGUCAUGACGGUACCGUAAGAAUAAGCACCGGCUAACUUCGUGCCAGCAGCCGCGGUAAUACGAAGGGUGCAAGCGUUACUCGGAAUUACUGGGCGUAAAGCGUGCGUAGGUGGUUUGUUAAGUCUGAUGUGAAAGCCCUGGGCUCAACCUGGGAAUUGCAUUGGAUACUGGCAGUCUAGAGUGCGGUAGAGGGUAGCGGAAUUCCCGGUGUAGCAGUGAAAUGCGUAGAUAUCGGGAGGAACAUCCGUGGCGAAGGCGGCUACCUGGACCAGCACUGACACUGAGGCACGAAAGCGUGGGGAGCAAACAGGAUUAGAUACCCUGGUAGUCCACGCCCUAAACGAUGCGAACUGGAUGUUGGGGGC
RNAcentral lists this ribosomal RNA (483 nucleotides) under uncultured Pseudomonadota bacterium. RNAcentral describes it as "bacterial SSU rRNA". It matches the Rfam family "Bacterial small subunit ribosomal RNA", at positions 355 to 830 of the family's 1533-position model. Lineage: Bacteria; Pseudomonadati; Pseudomonadota. The record is from RNAcentral.